This 402-nucleotide ribosomal RNA is filed under the name Boeckella gracilis. RNAcentral's name for it is "partial 16S ribosomal RNA". Lineage: Eukaryota; Metazoa; Arthropoda; Copepoda; Calanoida; Centropagidae. The record is from RNAcentral.
UCGCCUGUUUAUCAAAAACAUCACUUAAUAUAUAAGCUUUACCUGCUCAAUGAUAAUAAUUAAAUAGCCAAAUUAUGCUAAGGUAGCAUAAUAAUUUGCUUUAUAAUUAAAAGAUAGAAUGAAUGGUAUUUCUAAAAGUAACUAUUUUAUCUUAAAAUUAAAUUUUUCUAAAGUUGAAAAUUACUUUAUUAAUUUUUUAGACGAUAAGACCCUAUGAAGCUUUAUUAGUACAAAAAAUUAUAAACAAAAAAAUUAAUUUUUUUGGGGCAAAAAAAAAUUUUUUUAUUUUUUUACAGAAUAAUAAUGAUCUUUUAGAAUUUUAAGAGAAAGCUACUCUAGGGAUAACAGCAUAAUUUUUAUAAAAGUUCUUAUUAAAAUAAAAGUUUGUGACCUCGAUGUUGA